Molecule: ribosomal RNA, 253 nt
Filed under: uncultured bacterium
Lineage: Bacteria
Description: partial 16S ribosomal RNA
Rfam family: Bacterial small subunit ribosomal RNA
Source: RNAcentral
UACGAAGGGGGCUAGCGUUGCUCGGAAUCACUGGGCGUAAAGGGUGCGUAGGCGGGUCUUUAAGUCAGGGGUGAAAUCCCAGGGCUCAACCCUGGAACUGCCUUUGAUACUGACGAUCUGGAGAUCGGGAGAGGUUGGUGGAAUUCCGAGUGUAGAGGUGAAAUUCGUAGAUAUUCGCAGGAACACCAGUGGCGAAGGCGGCUCACUGGUCCGAUACUGACGCUGAGGUGCGAAAGCGUGGGGAGCAAACAGG